AGCUGGCUAUAUAAAGGGAGUCGAAGUUGAGAAACGGGCACUUCCCCACUGAACUAAGCGGAUCACCGUUGCUGCUCGCUUUGUAGACUUCAACCAUGAAAACUGCCGUCGUUAUCGCCUGCCUGCUGGUGGCCGUCGCUGCCAAGCCGCAAUUCGGCGGCUCUACGGGCGAUUCUUUCGGGCAAUCCCUCCAGGGACAGACCAGCGGGCCGUUCGGCGGUACUUCUCAGAUUCAGAGCAGCAGUGCUGGGGCCCGAGGAACUGCUUCUGGACUAUUCUCCUCGUCUGUCAACCAGGGCCAGAGCUCAGUCGGCCAGAGCACAGGAUUAUUCGGGAGCAACCAGUUCGCCAACAACCAGGCGACCAGCAUCCAGCGAGGAGGCUAGCUCCCGCGCAAGGACAGACCCGAUCUGACAACUGCAACUCCAUGGCGUUAAGACAACUUUAACUAAGCGAAAGCAAGCUGUCAUUUUCGUGUGAAAGUGCCAAAGUUACAGAGUUCGUUAGCUGAACGCUAGCGGCGCGAAGACAACCGUCACGAGAAGGUACGGGGAUUACAGAGUUCUUACACAAGAUGCUGGAAGUUCGGGGCAAAAACGGCAUCUGCAAGAAGUCGUACUGACAUGGCCGCAUGUGCCAAAGACAGUGAUCCACCUGUUUCUGGAAAUGCGUGAAUGCGGAUAUGCCAAAAAUUCUGCUGCUUUUGAACAAUAAACUGAUCAAAAUAUG
Amphibalanus amphitrite is the source of this 729-nucleotide long non-coding RNA. RefSeq lists it as uncharacterized. NCBI's taxonomy places the organism in Eukaryota, Metazoa, Arthropoda, Thecostraca, Balanomorpha, Balanidae. The transcript is spliced from 3 exons. The record is from RefSeq and is a predicted model, not a curated record.